Molecule: small RNA, 24 nt
Filed under: Arabidopsis thaliana (thale cress)
Lineage: Eukaryota; Viridiplantae; Streptophyta; Magnoliopsida; Brassicales; Brassicaceae
Description: ATSL120920
Source: RNAcentral
AUACCGAAGAGCAUCACAAUACAU